Molecule: long non-coding RNA, 829 nt
Filed under: Fukomys damarensis (Damara mole-rat)
Lineage: Eukaryota; Metazoa; Chordata; Mammalia; Rodentia; Bathyergidae
Description: lncRNA (ENSFDAG00000030300.1)
Source: RNAcentral
GGUGAAAGAUCAAAAGUGAGGGUCAGAAGCACAGUUUCUACUGAAAGCAUGUUGUUUUGCAUCAUUGUGAAGUUGCAGCACCACAAAUUGAACCAUGGUAUUAGGCGCUGUCUAUACACACAGCCCCUUCUGCUGGCCGUGCGUCUCUUCAUUCACCCAGUGUUUCUUACACUGAGAAUCGAGCCUAAACAAACCGAAAAGUCCUCCCAUUUACAUUAAGUUCACAGUGCCCCCUGCUACAUCAACAGUGUUGGAACAAACAUUCUAGGAGAACGGACUGCAUGUGUGCUUACUCUGCCUCCGUUCUCUCAUCUGCAGCUGGGGGUGGUGUGGGGUCAGCCUCCUGAGGCUGUCGGCCCCACCGUUACGCCGGGUCGCUCCCUGAGAAAGGGCUCGUCUUGGCCUGUUGUGCAGUUGCGGUGCCUUUCCCCCCGGAAAUUUUCAUUCCAUGUUAUGAUAGGUUUGAUCUGGCAAUCUUUCCUAGAGGAUCAGUGUUCCUUCUGGGUAAGGCGUGGGCCCUGGCUGAGGCUCCCACUCCUGCAUGAUUGUGACACCCAUGGGGGAUAGGAACUCUUACUCACAAAGAGACCUGAGCAGCGAGAUUGUGUCACCUCCUGGAGGGAAGGCAAGGAGGAGAAAAGGCCCCGACAGCUCUCUGACUCAGAGGGGGCUGAGGACCGCGAGAUGGCUGAUGCUUCCCAGAACCCCACACUUCUUCAAAAACCAGCCCUCGGGCAAGUCUGAAGGCUGCUCUCCACCCAGCUUUGGCAGGGGCAGGAUCCGAGUUUCUGCAAAGAUAUACUCUCCAGCAAGUGAUGGAAAUCGCUGA